Molecule: ribosomal RNA, 579 nt
Filed under: uncultured bacterium
Lineage: Bacteria
Description: partial 16S ribosomal RNA
Rfam family: Bacterial small subunit ribosomal RNA
Source: RNAcentral
UGGGGAAUUUUGGACAAUGGGCGAAAGCCUGAUCCAGCAAUGCCGCGUGUGUGAAGAAGGCCUUCGGGUUGUAAAGCACUUUUGUCCGGAAAGAAAUCCUUGGCUCUAAUACAGUCGGGGGAUGACGGUACCGGAAGAAUAAGCACCGGCUAACUACGUGCCAGCAGCCGCGGUAAUACGUAGGGUGCAAGCGUUAAUCGGAAUUACUGGGCGUAAAGCGUGCGCAGGCGGUUUGCUAAGACCGAUGUGAAAUCCCCGGGCUCAACCUGGGAACUGCAUUGGUGACUGGCAGGCUAGAGUAUGGCAGAGGGGGGUAGAAUUCCACGUGUAGCAGUGAAAUGCGUAGAGAUAUGGAGGAAUACCGAUGGCGAAGGCAGCCCCCUGGGCCAAUACUGACGCUCAUGCACGAAAGCGUGGGGAGCAAACAGGAUUAGAUACCCUGGUAGUCCACGCCCUAAACGAUGUCAACUAGUUGUUGGGGAUUCAUUUCCUUAGUAACGUAGCUAACGCGUGAAGUUGACCGCCUGGGGAGUACGGUCGCAAGAUUAAAACUCAAAGGAAUUGACGGGGUCAUAGCUG